UCACCACACUGUAUAUUACAACAUUUAAAUAUCAUUCUUAUAUUUUCUCCUUUCAUGUCAGAAAUUAGGAAAAUCAAAACUACUUUCUUUUUAAAAUACCGAGUGGUGAAACUGAACUCCUAACCAUGGACAAACUCAGAGGUGGAUGGACCAGUACCAAGCAGAGCAACAGAGUAGGAGGACCCCAACUCCUCUCCAGGACUUACAGGCUAAAGGCCGUUCACUGUGUCAAAGCCAACCUCUCGAACCGUCUACACUUUUCUUCUAGAUAUUGCUGUCUUGUUUAUCUAUUAACAUCUUUUUUUUUUUUUGACAAAACUGGAUUAUUCAGGUGGCAGACUAUAAUUUGCUUUCUAAAAAUCUGAAGAUAAAUUUGCAAUAUUAGAUACAAAGUGAAGAUCUGAACUCUGAGCUUUAAUAUGUUUUAUGACAUUAAUACAUAUUUUAUAUAAGUGGAAACUGAUUUUAUCUAUUAGAAUAAAAAA
Molecule: long non-coding RNA, 485 nt
Filed under: Rattus norvegicus (Norway rat)
Lineage: Eukaryota; Metazoa; Chordata; Mammalia; Rodentia; Muridae
Description: long non-coding RNA NONRATT029900
Source: RNAcentral